AUGGCCCAAGAGGAUCCUGGGAGCACAAGCCAGUCCCUAGAUACCCUUUGGUGUGGUUUCCAAGUGAGCAAGCUGGAGGGCAGCACUUGGACAGGGAGCCAAGAGAUAUGGAGACUGAAAUGAUCAACAAUCAAAUACACAUAUAAUCCCAAAUGGAUGGAGGCCAUCACUGAAAGAGAGGCGCUAUGACCGCAGGGAGAAAGUAGCAAACAGAUUUCUGCCGGCUGCAUCCAUCAGAGGGGAGAUGGGCUCUGUAAACAAUGGCCCGCAGCCUGUCUCCAGCGGACACUGACACACAGACGCCCCUCCCUGCGGGUCCCUGGCGGCAGAGCCUUGCCCUGCCCUGCCUGCUGGGGCCACACUCUCUGCCAAGCCCUGCUCUAGAGCCACAGAGACGUACUGCCCCUCACUGCCCCCUUCUGCAGGUUCCAUCUCUGACUUGACCCAGAAAAAUCAGAAGUGCCAAUGAGCACAAGGAGAUAACUUCCAGUCUUCACCCUCUGACUGAGCAGAAGUCCCAUGAAAAGGCCUGUCUGGAUCCCUGAGGGCCUGGUGCAGACUCAGGACACAGGAAAGGAAUGGAAAGGGAAAGCUGGUUCUUAAGCCUAAGCCCAGCUGUGUCUCCCCUAUUCC
Long non-coding RNA from Bos taurus (domestic cattle), 633 nucleotides. Lineage: Eukaryota; Metazoa; Chordata; Mammalia; Artiodactyla; Bovidae. The record is from Ensembl.